UAUCACAGUUUUGUCCAAUACCUCUGGAACGUGUCCACGUCCGUUUUCUGGAUGAUGGAUUCGCAUCCCAAACCCACCGGAAACUAGGAGCUGUAUUGUAAUUUUCAGUAUCAUUCCCUCAACAGACACUCGCUGAAUAUGUUCUACCUGUAGGCACUGGACUGUCUUCUGAGGACAAAGCCCUGAGUAAAAGUGAACGUGGCGUCUGCCCUCAUGCAGUUGAAAUCAAGCCAGCGAAACACACAUCCAUCGCAUCAGCACGCAGCAAAACAGAAAAUUCUGACUGAUGCAGGUGCUGUGAAGAAAUACAAGGAGCUGUGAGCGUUUAAAGUAGGGGAUAGGAUCAAGCCAAAGAAAGAUGUCCCAAGAAAUAGUAAAAGCAAUACGUAUUGAAAACUCACUACAAACUAUGGUUCAGAGCACUUAGACGUAUUUUUUUCUCUUCAGCCACAUGAGACAGGGAUCAUCUAUUAUUAUUCCCACUCUAGAGAUGAGAAGGCUGAAGCAGAGACUCUCAAGUCGAGAGCUGAACUUGGGAUGCGCUCAGCCAAGAUAGGCAAGGUUAUGCUCUGCUACCAAGAAUCCCCCAAAUAUGAAAGUGUACUGCUUGCCUCGAUAUUUCAGGAGGGGAGAAUAAUCCAGACGUAGGUGUCAUCGUAUGCGAAGACCUUGCUCUUGCAUGGAGCCUGGACAGGAUUGCAAAGCAGGGUGGACGACAGGUCUAGAGCAGACCAGGAGCAGACCUGGAGACCGGCAGGGCUUCCCUCCCCACAAUCACAGGGGAGUCUGUGCGUGGUCCCAAGAGCACCACUAGAAUCAUGCAGAACCUACCAGUUAUGCCGCAGGGAGCAAUUCAUCUGAGGCCGACCCACUGUUCGGGAAGAGACCGCCUGUGUGCUUGAGACCUCCAAGCCAACUUACUUCGCACUGAAAUUUCCUUCUUCUUUUCCUUCUCAUUAUAAAGGCUGACGCAUAAUUUAACCAACGUUUCCCUCCGGCGGGAGCGAUCGUUCUAUCUUGCUGGGUCAUCCCCAAACUGCGAAGGCACGACUGACGGCCAUAAUGCACUUUAACGAACUUCCAGGGGCCCCCCCCGCCCCCGAGAACUUUCUAUCAAAGAAGUGGUUGAGUUAUUCUGAAGUUGAAAACUACUGAGAGAAGAACACAGGCAAGACACAGCCGGGCGGACCCAGUGUGCCUGGAGGAUGAGGAGUAAGUUACUGUGGUUUACGAUCGUGCAGGAUAAGAAGUGGCAGGAGAUGGGCUACGAAAGGAAUAUUGUGUUCCAAUUAUGAUAGCUCUUAGGCAGCAAGGAUUUGGAUUUCAUCCAGCAAGCAGCAGGAAGGAAUCAAUGGACAUUUUUGUCAAGAGAUAGUAUCCACUUUGUUGUUUAGAAGAAAAAAGACACACACACACACACACACACACACACACACACACACAAGGUCCGGUGAUGUGACAGAAAAAAAUUAACCGACGAAAAGUGGAAAACCGUUGCGCUCAUCAGAACAAGAGGUGAUGUGACCUAGUGUAAGGCAGUGGGAGCAUGUGAAUGGCAAGGAGGAGACUUAGUCUGGUACCAUUUCUGAGACCAAGGGAUGGCGGUACUUAGCAUUCUAUUGAUGUGAUAGACGGUAGAGAAGGGUUUAAAGUGGAUGCAUAAUAGCUUCUGUCACCCAAAGAGGUCAGAGAAAAGAACAGAUGUUGCCAAACAGUCUCUACAUUUUAUUUUAGCUAUAAUGCAUCUGAAAUUCUUAAGGGAUCCUCCAAGAAGAGAUGCCUGUAGACAGUUGAAAACGCAGCCUGGUUUUACCUAGCGGAGUCAGGGCUGAAGAAAGACGUUCGGUGACCAUCAGAAGUUACUGGAAUUGCCUGCAAAGAGAAAGAGAGUGUACGAGGAACGGAACGGGGAACAGAGCCAUCAAGACCACCAGCAUUUAAGGAGCUGGGGGUCGGGCUGGGGGAAGGGGCACCAAUGAGUGAAUCAGAGAAGAAACUAAUUGAAGAGAAAAUCGGGGCAAGAUUCUUGCUAUAACAUCCCAAGAGUGAACCUGCCAGCUGAGGGAUGGGAGUUCAGGCUGCCAAAAAAACAAACAAACAAACAAACAAACAAACACCCCAUGCAGAUUCCACUGCUAAAUGGCAAUGAGCACAUAACCCCUUCUAACUUUCUAACGUGUUUUGUUUUUCUUUUUUUUCUCUCCAAAAGCUACUACAACCCCAGACAUGCUUUGGGAGUCGGUAUUUAAAAGUUCCCGUUUUAAUUUGGGUGGUUGUUGCUUUUUAAACAAGCAAAAUAAAAUGGGGAUUUUUUUUCCAGUCCUUGAGAUGUGGUUAAGUCCUUGAGAAGGUGCUCAGCAGUGAAUUGAAGCAAAAGUGUCCCCAGCUUAAAUAAUCAUAUUACUGGUUUUGUGUUUCAUGUUAACAAACAGCAACU
Herpailurus yagouaroundi (jaguarundi) is the source of this 2437-nucleotide long non-coding RNA. RefSeq lists it as uncharacterized. NCBI's taxonomy places the organism in Eukaryota, Metazoa, Chordata, Mammalia, Carnivora, Felidae. The record is from RefSeq and is a predicted model, not a curated record. The transcript is spliced from 3 exons.